CCCAUAACUUUUUAUUUUUGCCUUACCUGUAUGUGGUUCAGUUCCCUUUAUUAUUUCACUAAUUAUGAUCAAUGUCCACACACAAGUUCCCUGAUCUAGGCAUUUGUUCCCGUUUAUAGCUAUCACUGUUCGUUCCCAUUCAUACGUAAUAAUUUUUUAACCAACCAAAUUCAAUCGCCAAAAUGUACAUGCCAAUCAAAUUCAAAUAUUCAGAUCUCUUUCAAAAGUCACGUACAUCUACUAUUUGUGCCUUAAUACAAACAAUUCCUUGAACAAUUUGCAACAACAAAGGAUAUUGGAAAUUUUUAAUUCGUAGAAAUAAAACUAGAUAUGUAUAGUAUUGCUGUUGCUAAAGCAUAGAGGUAGGGCUGUGAAAGAUGCGGGAGUUAAAUGUUGCAAACACUUUUAAAGUGAAUGUUUAGUGUGAUCCCGAGCCGCCCAUGAUCCGUUUUUGAGUAAGGAAUUUCGGGAGUUCCCGCGGACGGCAUCGACGACGAUCACGGGACUAUCGGAUAUCAGCCGAUAAAUAUACAUAAUUACAAAGAGAUAACAGUUGUAUUUCGGUUGUUAUUACAACGGCAUUUUAUAUAUAUACAUUAAAAAAAAAAUGUUAACAGUUGCAAGAACAUAUUUUUCUGUUACCGUUCUGUUAUCUCUUCUGAUAUUACACAUCCACUUACCUGUUAUCAAUUUAUGUUUGUAAAAAUCUAAAUUAAUUGAAUUACUUAUCGCUAAUCCAUCUACCAGAAAAUAACCAUAAUUAUAUAUACGAUAUCGCUUGCUUCAUUUCCGAUAACAAUAAUUUCUUUUGACGAAAACCACAUAUGUAGAACUCCUUUAACAAUACACGGAUUAACAUAAAAUUUUUUACUAUUUGACCAUCUAUGUAACUUCGAGACCAAAGUGCCACGUAUGGAUUGAAACUUAUUACUCUUGGACUUACGAUGCUAUUUAGGACAGGCAGCUGCUCGUAAUACACCAUAAAUGGCCACCGAAAUAUCGAUGAUAAACGAGAGGCGGAGAGGACAUGGAAGUUCGUUUUGAUGCUAGCGUAAAAGAAGUUGUUCGAUGUGAUGUUCUUUCUAUAAAUAAUUUUGCAGAUAAUUGAGGAACAUUAUAAAAAUUCUGGAUGCCAUUAAGUUACAGACCGUUGGUUACAUCAGUCCUCCUUCGUUUCAGGGAGUAGCUGUACCUAUAGCCCAAGGGAAUGCACGAAAGUGAUUUUUUUUCCAUUGAGAAUGAAGACAGUAUGUUUUUGCUGAAGGAAGGAUUCAUGACAAUGAAUUGACUGCCCAACAUAUGAGAAGGGGGAGACUGCUGGAAAUUAAUUUGGAAACCGCUGAAACAAUAGAUUGCAGUGGCAUCUCUCCUGGCUUUGGCUUGCUCGUUACACAUUUAGACUUUAGAAUAUUAGUUUCUGCAAUUAAUUAAGAUUAUCCAAUAAAUGAGAGAAUUAAUGUUCAGCUUGGUCUUACUGAAACAACCAAAGUCUACAUGGGUGUGGUCUAUUGUGAACUGUUUUCUUGAUUUGCUGUUUUCGUCUUCGCCUUGCAACAUUAUGCAGUUAAUUUUCAACCGAAGAGAGAAGAGCAACUGGAGAUUUAUUUGAAUUCCACUGAAACAACAAAUUUUCUGCUAUGGAUUUGAAUUUGGUUUGCUCUUCACAUCUGCAAACUUUGAAAUGUUACAGUUACAGUUAAUGAAGGUGAGAAUACUUGAUAUAAUUAAUUUUAAUUGCUUUUUAUUAAUCUGUUUGCCACCGUAUCUG
Agrilus planipennis (emerald ash borer) is the source of this 1768-nucleotide long non-coding RNA. RefSeq lists it as uncharacterized. The record is from RefSeq and is a predicted model, not a curated record. NCBI's taxonomy places the organism in Eukaryota, Metazoa, Arthropoda, Insecta, Coleoptera, Buprestidae. The transcript has 6 exons.